Long non-coding RNA from Ananas comosus (pineapple), 1103 nucleotides. RefSeq lists it as uncharacterized. NCBI's taxonomy places the organism in Eukaryota, Viridiplantae, Streptophyta, Magnoliopsida, Poales, Bromeliaceae. The record is from RefSeq and is a predicted model, not a curated record. The transcript is spliced from 3 exons.
AACAUGUUUCUCUCUUUUGAUUCAUGUUUUUGGAGGUUUUUGUGUAGAAACCCUAGAAAUGGAAAAACUAGAGUUUCUUUGGAAAUUUUCGAUUUGGGAUUUUUGGAGCUCAAUUUAUUGGUUUAGAACCUUCCUUUAGGUUGGAAUAGAAGUGCUCUAGCCUUCUUUGGGAUUUAAGAAAGUUUUUCCUACAUUUAGGUGAGUUUUUGCUUUUUUUUUGGGUUGGUUAAAGAUGAACACUUUGGGUGUUCGUUCGUUUCGUUUAACCUUCUUAGAAUUUUCUUUAGAGAGGUAGAAGACUUGUGGGCAUCUUCGUUUGCGCAAACGAAAGGGUUACAAGGAGCUCUUGGUAACACAUGUCACCCUCUCAAAGCAUUCACCUUAUGGACGUUCCCAUUCUUCUUUUGCUCACGUUAGUCGCCAUUGGCGCUACACGCAUGUACCAUAGCAUCAUCGAUCAUUGAAAGCUCCCGUAGACGAUGAUACCGCAUCAUGGCCGGCAGUCGGAAGGUUUCCAUGAUGGCUUCCAGUGAGAGACCACACCACACUCCACAGCUCACUGGAAGCCCUUCCAUAGAUGUGGUUGUUUCCUAGAAUGGCACUGGGAACUACACGACAGUGAUGGCAGCUGUAGAUGGAGCGCCGCCGAGCAGCGGACAUCAAUACGUCAUCCACAUUAAUUCAGAGAGGAACGCACAAUGAAUACGUCUCCGUCGAGAAGCCGAAUGUAGUAUUUGUGGGGGACGGGAUGGAGGUGACGGUGAUCACCGGCAGCCACAGUGUGGCCUAUGAUUGGUUGACGUCUGACAGCGGCACAGUUAGUAAGUAUUUUAUUUUUAUUAUAUUUCAAGUUAUGAUUCAUAGCUUAGGGCUUAUAGUUUUGGAAUAGUAGAUAUCUCAUCAAUGUGAAGGAGAAUUGUUAAAUUUUUUUUUUUUUUUUUGGGAAUAUUGAAUUUUAGAAUGUAAAAGGUGUAUUGAAUUUGAAGAAUAAGAUUAGGGAUCGAUGGAAUGCAACUAUUAUGUAGAUUGAGUUUAUUAGGAUCAUAAAUUGUAAGUUUUCGUUGAUGAUUAAUGUUAAUUUUUUCCUGUUGAAUUUGAUUAAA